AUUGAACGCUGGCGGCAUGCCUUACACAUGCAAGUCGAACGGUAACAGGUCUUCGGAUGCUGACGAGUGGCGAACGGGUGAGUAAUACAUCGGAACGUGCCCGAGAGUGGGGGAUAACGGAGCGAAAGCUUUGCUAAUACCGCAUACGAUCUACGGAUGAAAGCAGGGGGCCGCAAGGCCUUGCGCUCAUGGAGCGGCCGAUGGCAGAUUAGGUAGUUGGUGGGAUAAAAGCUUACCAAGCCGACGAUCUGUAGCUGGUCUGAGAGGACGACCAGCCACACUGGGACUGAGACACGGCCCAGACUCCUACGGGAGGCAGCAGUGGGGAAUUUUGGACAAUGGGCGAAAGCCUGAUCCAGCCAUGCCGCGUGCAGGAUGAAGGCCUCGGGUUGUAAACUGCUUUGUACGGACGAAAGACUCUUCUAAUAAAGGGGUCCAUGACGGUACCGUAAGAAUAAGACACCGGCUAACUACGUGCCAGCAGCCGCGGUAAAC
RNAcentral lists this ribosomal RNA (495 nucleotides) under uncultured bacterium. RNAcentral describes it as "bacterial SSU rRNA". It matches the Rfam family "Bacterial small subunit ribosomal RNA", at positions 30 to 525 of the family's 1533-position model. The record is from RNAcentral.